GCGUUACUCGGAUUUAUUGGGCGUAAAGCGCAUGUAGGCGGUUUUAUAAGUCUGAUGUGAAAUCCCUGGACUCAAUUCAGGAACUGCAUUGGAUACUGUAAGACUAGAGUAUGAGAGCGGUAGGCGGAAUUCUUGGUGUAGAGGUGAAAUUCGUAGAUAUCAAGAGGAACAACAGAAGCGAAGGCGGCUUACUGGAUCAUUACUGACGCUGAGAUGCGACAGUGUG
RNAcentral lists this ribosomal RNA (226 nucleotides) under uncultured bacterium. RNAcentral's name for it is "partial 16S ribosomal RNA". It matches the Rfam family "Bacterial small subunit ribosomal RNA", at positions 538 to 763 of the family's 1533-position model. The record is from RNAcentral.